UUGGCUGUCAUGGAAACAUCUGAGGCUGGGGAGCUGCCGCUCCGAUGCGCACCCAUUGAUUUGUACCUGCUGUUUGGAGGGCACCUGCGUCAGAGGCACCGCUGAGCUCUUCAUCAGCAUUCCAGAACUCAGUCCACUGCACAGUUGCCUGCACUUUCUUCAGGAGGAAGCUUCAUUUCCAGAGGGGAAACGAAAUUUCUAAUCACUGUGCUCACCCUGGAGUGCAGAGGAUAUUUCCAAUCAUCUGAGCCACUGGAGACAUUUGGCAACUUGAAAAGCAAGGCUGGUGCCCUGGGGUGGAUUCCAUAGUCUGUGGAAAGAUAAGCAGAGUCCAGGAUCUGGCUUUUCCAACCUGAACAGUUCUGUGAUUCUAUAAAUUCAUGUGGGACUCAGCUGCUCCUGGCUAACCACAGCUCACUGGAACUUUCAUCAAGGGGUGGUGUUGUUGCAAAAUUUAGUGCCAAAGUCAACACCAGGAUUCAUGAGGUCACUGGAGAUGGAUGGGCACCUACUGAUAGGGAGAUGGUUGUCUAAUCCCAAAGUUUCUUCCCUGGAGCACCUCUGGAUAUGUGACAGCUGCAGAGGGAACAUAUAAUGCAUUACUGUCCAAUGUAAUUUAUAUUUCUGGUAUCAACCAAAAAAACAAAUAUAAGAGUGAGAAACUCUAGAAAUGAACAUUAAUACGCUGUGUGAUUCAGUUCAAUGAUUUAUUAAUAUUCAUAAAUACUUUAAAAAAAAGUCAUCCUUUGUCUUAUA
Corvus hawaiiensis (hawaiian crow) is the source of this 756-nucleotide long non-coding RNA. RefSeq lists it as uncharacterized. The transcript has 2 exons. The record is from RefSeq and is a predicted model, not a curated record. NCBI's taxonomy places the organism in Eukaryota, Metazoa, Chordata, Aves, Passeriformes, Corvidae.